CACGAGGCCUUUACUGACGCUAAAGCUCGAAGGUGCGGGUAUCGAACAGGAUUAGAUACCCUGGUAGUCCGCACGGUAAACGAUGGAUGCCCGCUGUUUGCGAUACACUGUGAGCGGCCAAGCGAAAGCGUUAAGCAUCCACCUGGGGAGUACGCCGGCAACGGUGAAACUCAAAGGAAUUGACGGGGGCCCGCGCAAGCGGAGGAACAUGUGGUUUAAUUCGAUGAUACGCGAGGAACCUUACCCGGGCUUGAACUGCCGGCGAACGAUACAGAGAUGUUGAGGCCCUUCGGGGCGCCGGUGGAGGUGCUGCAUGGUUGUCGUCAGCUCGUGCCGUGAGGUGUCGGCUUAAGUGCCAUAACGAGCGCAACCCCUCUCCGUAGUUGCCAUCGGGUGAUGCCGGGCACUCUGCGGACACUGCCACCGUAAGGUGUGAGGAAGGUGGGGAUGACGUCAAAUCAGCACGGCCCUUACGUCCGGGGCUACACACGUGUUACAAUGGGUGGUACAGAGGGCAGGCGUCCGGCAACGUCCGUCUAAUCCCGAAAGCCAUCCUCAGUUCGGACUGGGGUCUGCAACCCGACCCCACGAAGCUGGAUUC
RNAcentral lists this ribosomal RNA (601 nucleotides) under uncultured bacterium. RNAcentral's name for it is "bacterial SSU rRNA". It matches the Rfam family "Bacterial small subunit ribosomal RNA", at positions 727 to 1333 of the family's 1533-position model. The record is from RNAcentral.